CAGCACCUCAUGUGGUCAGGAUGAUUAUUGGGCCUAAAGCAUCCGUAGCCGGCGCUGUAAGUUUUCGGUUAAAUCUGUACGCUCAACGUACAGGCUGCCGGGAAUACUGCAGCGCUAGGGAGUGGGAGAGGUAGACGGUACUCGGUAGGAAGGGGUAAAAUCCUUUGAUCUAUUGAUGACCACCUGUGGCGAAGGCGGUCUACCAGAACACGUCCGACGGUGAGGGAUGAAAGCUGGGGGAGCAAACCGGAUUAGAUACCCGAGUAGUCC
This 270-nucleotide ribosomal RNA is filed under the name uncultured archaeon. RNAcentral's name for it is "partial 16S ribosomal RNA". It matches the Rfam family "Archaeal small subunit ribosomal RNA", at positions 477 to 747 of the family's 1478-position model. The record is from RNAcentral.